This 1386-nucleotide ribosomal RNA is filed under the name metagenome. RNAcentral's name for it is "bacterial SSU rRNA". It matches the Rfam family "Bacterial small subunit ribosomal RNA". The record is from RNAcentral.
GUUUGACCCUGGCUCAGGAUGAACGCUGGCGGCGUGCUUAACACAUGCAAGUCGAACGAUCCUUCGGGAUAGUGGCGGACGGGUGAGUAACGCGUGGGAAUCUGCCCUCAGGAGGGGGAUAACGGCUGGAAACGGCCGCUAAUACCCCAUAUGCCGAGAGGUGAAAUGAAUUUCGCCUGAGGAUGAGCCCGCGUCUGAUUAGCUAGUUGGUGGGGUAAAGGCCUACCAAGGCAACGAUCAGUAGCUGGUCUGAGAGGAUGAUCAGCCACACUGGGACUGAGACACGGCCCAGACUCCUACGGGAGGCAGCAGUGGGGAAUUUUCCGCAAUGGGCGAAAGCCUGACGGAGCAACGCCGCGUGAGGGAUGAAGGCCUCUGGGCUGUAAACCUCUUUUCUCAAGGAAGAAGACCUGACGGUACUUGAGGAAUAAGCCACGGCUAAUUCCGUGCCAGCAGCCGCGGUAAUACGGGAGUGGCAAGCGUUAUCCGGAAUUAUUGGGCGUAAAGCGUCCGCAGGCGGCCUUGUAAGUCUGUUGUUAAAGCGUGGAGCUCAACUCCAUUUAAGCAAUGGAAACUACAAGGCUGGAGUGUGGUAGGGGCAGAGGGAAUUCCCGGUGUAGCGGUGAAAUGCGUAGAUAUCGGGAAGAACACCAGUGGCGAAGGCGCUCUGCUGGGCCAUAACUGACGCUCAUGGACGAAAGCCAGGGGAGCGAAAGGGAUUAGAUACCCCUGUAGUCCUGGCCGUAAACGAUGAACACUAGGUGUCGGGGGAAUCGACCCCCUCGGUGUCGUAGCCAACGCGUUAAGUGUUCCGCCUGGGGAGUACGCACGCAAGUGUGAAACUCAAAGGAAUUGACGGGGGCCCGCACAAGCGGUGGAGUAUGUGGUUUAAUUCGAUGCAACGCGAAGAACCUUACCAGGGUUUGACAUCCUGCGAACCCCUGAGAAAUCGGGGGGUGCCUUCGGGAGCGCAGAGACAGGUGGUGCAUGGCUGUCGUCAGCUCGUGUCGUGAGAUGUUGGGUUAAGUCCCGCAACGAGCGCAACCCACGUCUUUAGUUGCCAGCAUUCUGUUGGGCACUCUAGAGAGACCGCCGGUGAUAAACCGGAGGAAGGUGUGGAUGACGUCAAGUCAUCAUGCCCCUUACAUCCUGGGCUACACACGUACUACAAUGCUACGGACAAAGGGCAGCAAGCUCGCGAGAGUUAGCAAAUCCCAUAAACCGUGGCUCAGUUCAGAUCGUAGGCUGCAACUCGCCUACGUGAAGGAGGAAUCGCUAGUAAUCGCAGGUCAGCAUACUGCGGUGAAUACGUUCCCGGGCCUUGUACACACCGCCCGUCACACCAUGGAAGUUGGCCAUGCCCGAAGUCGUUACUCCAACCCUUGU